Long non-coding RNA from Haliotis rubra (blacklip abalone), 103 nucleotides. RefSeq lists it as uncharacterized. The transcript has 4 exons. The record is from RefSeq and is a predicted model, not a curated record. NCBI's taxonomy places the organism in Eukaryota, Metazoa, Mollusca, Gastropoda, Lepetellida, Haliotidae.
UUGCAGUGUAAUAUAUUUUCGGCAAUAAUACACUAGUGUAAUACCGGUAGACGUAUGACGUCAUAAUGAUACGCUAAGCUCAGAGAGUCAUCACACUGUAGGC